AUAAGCACCAUAGAGAACCUACAGGCCAGCCUGUACAAGAUGGAGGUGGUCUCCUGUGGCAACGUAACUGACAAGGGUGUCAUCGCCCUGCAUAAACUCAGGAGUCUAGAGCAUCUGUACCUCAGCGAUCUGCCAGGCGUGGUAGAGAAGGAGAAGACCGUAGAGAGACUCCAGACAGCUCUACCUGGGCUGGACAUAGAGCUGGACCUGGUCUAACUGACAGACUGAGGAUGAACCCACAACCACAGGCUGUGACUGACAGACACAGAGGACCAGUCCGCCACAGUGGGUAGUGUCAUGACGACCAGAAGAUGCACGUUGUCUUGUAGCAACACAUUGUAGCACAUAGUAAAGUGUUUUGCAACAAAUUUGACUCAAUGUUUUGGUCCCCCCUUUUUUUUUUUUUCUCUCCCGUUUGGUUUCUAGUGAACACGACCGUGGUCGCAGAUCUGUUCGUGCCGUCUCGCCAUGGCCUCCUAUGGGUUAUGGUCAUUGGCAUGACCAUAGGAGUUGGCAAGACUGCACCAACACAUCUGGGACCAGGCUAGUGGGACACGGGACAAAUGAGAUUUACCAUCGCAACAUGUUUUCAACUGGACUUCAUUGGUAUUGACUCCAAAACAUAAGUAUGACAGGAAUUGUUUUCCUUAAUGUUUAUUAAAUAUGACUUCAUUAAAAAAAAAAAGUACAUAGACU
This is a long non-coding RNA of Oncorhynchus tshawytscha (Chinook salmon), 696 nucleotides long. RefSeq lists it as uncharacterized. The transcript has 2 exons. NCBI's taxonomy places the organism in Eukaryota, Metazoa, Chordata, Actinopteri, Salmoniformes, Salmonidae. The record is from RefSeq and is a predicted model, not a curated record.